Molecule: non-coding RNA, 134 nt
Organism: Chelonus insularis
Lineage: Eukaryota; Metazoa; Arthropoda; Insecta; Hymenoptera; Braconidae
Product: small Cajal body-specific RNA 8
Exons: 1
Source: RefSeq, a predicted model, not a curated record
UGGAAGAUUGAUACUCGAAAAAGAGACAUAUUUUAUUCUUUUACUCGACACAUACUCUUCCAAUAAUAAUAAAGCUUUCUGAUGACUGUAAAUUGUCAAGUAUUAUUUUACAGACAGAUACGAGGCUAACAUGA